Xenia sp. Carnegie-2017 is the source of this 498-nucleotide long non-coding RNA. RefSeq lists it as uncharacterized. Lineage: Eukaryota; Metazoa; Cnidaria; Anthozoa; Malacalcyonacea; Xeniidae. The transcript has 4 exons. The record is from RefSeq and is a predicted model, not a curated record.
AAAAUUGAUGUAGAUACAAUCAAAACGGAAAGCGAAAGAUAUCCAGCAAGAAUUUUAAAAUUUGGAGAUGACUUUGACUCCAUGGAUUCAUGCUUAGAGAUGUAUCUGAAAAGUGGAAAACUUCAACUCCUAAAAGAGGAAAAGGUCAAAGAAUCUCACAAAGGAAUUAUAAAUACCAUUCCGACUCCGAUAAGGAGGAUUAUGAAGUCCAGUUUGGUUCACAUAUAAGUAAAAAACCCCCUUUAAAGAGAAGAAAAGUGUAGAAAGAUAGUUCAAAGAAAAACUCCUUAUAUAUUACAUGGUUAAAGAAAACAUAAACAAAUAGAGUGCAAAAUGAAGAAGACAACUUAAACGAGAAUGGUUCUGUAAGUAUAUAAACUUUUUGCAGUUCUUAGCAGUUGACGUUGCCCAGAUAGAGUAAGUUUUGCUUUCUUAUUUAACGUAUUUGAGAUUUGCCUGGUGAAAGGGUAUUGGUAUUAUAAAUGACCUAAAUUAUUA